UGGGAAUGGCGCGUGCUAAUACAUGCAAGUCGAGCGGACAGAUGGGAGCUUGCUCCCUGAUGUUAGCGGCGGACGGGUGAGUAACACGUGGGUAACCUGCCUGUAAGACUGGGAUAACUCCGGGAAACCGGGGCUAAUACCGGAUGCUUGUUUGAACCGCAUGGUUCAAACAUAAAAGGUGGCUUCGGCUACCACUUACAGAUGGACCCGCGGCGCAUUAGCUAGUUGGUGAGGUAACGGCUCACCAAGGCAACGAUGCGUAGCCGACCUGAGAGGGUGAUCGGCCACACUGGGACUGAGACACGGCCCAGACUCCUACGGGAGGCAGCAGUAGGGAAUCUUCCGCAAUGGACGAAAGUCUGACGGAGCAACGCCGCGUGAGUGAUGAAGGUUUUCGGAUCGUAAAGCUCUGUUGUUAGGGAAGAACAAGUACCGUUCGAAUAGGGCGGUACCUUGACGGUACCUAACCAGAAAGCCACGGCUAACUACGUGCCAGCAGCCGCGGUAAUACGUAGGUGGCAAGCGUUGUCCGGAAUUAUUGGGCGUAAAGGGCUCGCAGGCGGUUUCUUAAGUCUGAUGUGAAAGCCCCCGGCUCAACCGGGGGAGGGUCAUUGGGAAACUGGGGAACUUUGAGUGCAGAAAGAGAGAGUGGAAAUUCCACGUGUAGCGGGUGAAAUGCGUAGAGAUGUGGAGGAAACACCAGUGGCGAAAGCGACUCUCUGGGUCUGUAACUGACGCUGAGAGCGAAAGCGUGGGGAGCGACAAGGAUUAGAAUACCCUGGUAGUCCACGCCGUAACGAUGAGUGCCUGAGUGUUAGGGGGAGUUUCCGCUCCUAACUGCCUGCCAGCCUUAUGCAUUAGUCACUUCGGACUGGCAGGUACGGUUCGCAGACUGAUACUCAAAGGACUGACUAGGCGCUAGCACAGAG
Molecule: ribosomal RNA, 929 nt
Filed under: Bacillus sp. (in: firmicutes)
Lineage: Bacteria; Bacillati; Bacillota; Bacilli; Caryophanales; Bacillaceae
Description: bacterial SSU rRNA
Rfam family: Bacterial small subunit ribosomal RNA
Source: RNAcentral